UAAUACGUAGGGUGCAAGCGUUGUCCGGAAUUAUUGGGCGUAAAGCGCGCGCAGGCGGUUCUUUAAGUCUGGUGUUUAAACCCGAGGCUCAACUUCGGGACGCACUGGAAACUGGGGGACUUGAGUGCAGAAGAGGAGAGUGGAAUUCCACGUGUAGCGGUGAAAUGCGUAGAUAUGUGGAGGAACACCAGUGGCGAAGGCGACUCUCUGGGCUGUAACUGACGCUGAGGCGCGAAAGCGUGGGGAGCGAACAGGAUUAGAUACCCUGGUAGUCCACGCCGUAAACGAUGAAUGCUAGGUGUUAGGGGUUUCGAUACCCUUGGUGCCGAAGUUAACACAUUAAGCAUUCCGCCUGGGGAGUACGGUCGCAAGACUGAA
RNAcentral lists this ribosomal RNA (378 nucleotides) under uncultured bacterium. RNAcentral describes it as "bacterial SSU rRNA". It matches the Rfam family "Bacterial small subunit ribosomal RNA", at positions 521 to 898 of the family's 1533-position model. The record is from RNAcentral.